This 253-nucleotide ribosomal RNA is filed under the name uncultured bacterium. RNAcentral describes it as "partial 16S ribosomal RNA". It matches the Rfam family "Bacterial small subunit ribosomal RNA", at positions 524 to 776 of the family's 1533-position model. The record is from RNAcentral.
UACGGAAUGUGCAAACGUUAUUCGGAAUCACUGGGCUUAAAGAGUCCGUAGGCGGCGUGUCAAGUCAGGCGUGAAAGCCCCGGGCUCAACCUGGGAACCGCGCUUGAGACUGGCAUGCUCGAGUUCGGGAGAGGAUGGUGGAAUUCCCAGUGUAGAGGUGAAAUUCGUAGAUAUUGGGAAGAACACCGAUGGCGAAGGCAGCCAUCUGGACCGACACUGACGCUGAGGCGCGAAAGCGUGGGGAGCAAACAGG